This 460-nucleotide ribosomal RNA is filed under the name uncultured bacterium. Its description in RNAcentral is "partial 16S ribosomal RNA". It matches the Rfam family "Bacterial small subunit ribosomal RNA", at positions 338 to 795 of the family's 1533-position model. The record is from RNAcentral.
CCUACGGGUGGCAGCAGUGAGGAAUAUUGGUCAAUGGACGAGAGUCUGAACCAGCCAAGUAGCGUGAAGGAUGACUGCCCUAUGGGUUGUAAACUUCUUUUAUAUGGGAAUAAAACGUUCCACGUGUGGGAUUUUGUAUGUACCAUACGAAUAAGGACCGGCUAACUCCGUGCCAGCAGCCGCGGUAAUACGGAGGGUCCGGACGUUAUCCGGAUUUAUUGGGGUUAAAGGGAGCGUAGGUGGGUGGUGAAGGCAGUUGUGAAAGUUGGCGGCUCAACCGUAACAUUGCAGUUGAAACUGGCAGUCUUGAGUACAGUAGAGGCAGGCGGAAUUCGUGGUGUAGCGGUGAAAUGCUUAGAUAUCACGAAGAACUCCGAUUGCGAAGGCAGUUCACUGGACUGCAACUGACACUGAGGCUCGAAGGUGUGGGUAUCAAACAGGAUUAGAUACCCGUGUAGUC